UCCUGCACCAACCGACAACGAGCGAACAUCUUGCCAUACACUGCUGGGAAGUUUUGAACACAUUCAACUGGGCAGCGCUUUGUGCGUAUCGAAUAUUCCGCAUCUGCAACAUAUGUAAUUCGACAAAAAACGAGGCUUCGCAAAUUGGGUGCCUAAUACACGGACUGGGGAUGGGGACUAAUUGCGAUCGCACCAAAAGUAGGGUCAAGCUGUUCUCUCUACAACUGUUGCAGCAGAAAGUGGAGUUCAGCGCAUGUGGGCUAUUCGUUAUCGACCACGGGUUGGCUUUCAAUAUUGCCGGGGCGAUGGCUACCUACAUUCUGAUACUGCUGCAGUUCGAUGUGGCCCAAAAUGGUUCGCAGUGGAAACGAUCCCACUAGAGUGCAUUCACACAAUAUGACCACCAGAAUUGAUUCUAGUUGUCUACUCAAUUUAAAUGCUAAUAUUGCACGACAGCAACGCUUUACACUUGUUGGAUCGCUGGCAGACACGCUGAGCUUCUACUACGCAAAAUGAACUCUCAAGUUCAAUAACAUUUGUUGAAAAACCCUAUGAUUUUUUUAAAUGAGCGUAAUCAAUUUUGACCUUGAAUUUUGACAACUGAUGUAGCCAAAAGAGAUAAUAGAAUCUACUCUAUAUGACAGUAAAGCUUGUUGAACAAAAUAGGCUCAAUAUGGAAAGUAUUGGUCAUUGGAAAUGUUCAUGUCAAUUACAAUUACGCCUAAAGUACAUAUAAUCAUUACAAUGAGUAUAAGAAAAUUACAGUGAUGAAC
This is a long non-coding RNA of Armigeres subalbatus, 773 nucleotides long. RefSeq lists it as uncharacterized. The transcript is spliced from 4 exons. The record is from RefSeq and is a predicted model, not a curated record. NCBI's taxonomy places the organism in Eukaryota, Metazoa, Arthropoda, Insecta, Diptera, Culicidae.